RNAcentral lists this ribosomal RNA (454 nucleotides) under uncultured Porphyromonadaceae bacterium. RNAcentral's name for it is "partial 16S ribosomal RNA". It matches the Rfam family "Bacterial small subunit ribosomal RNA", at positions 341 to 792 of the family's 1533-position model. Lineage: Bacteria; Pseudomonadati; Bacteroidota; Bacteroidia; Bacteroidales; Porphyromonadaceae. The record is from RNAcentral.
ACGGAAGGCAGCAGUGGGGAAUAUUGGUCAAUGGGCGGAAGCCUGAACCAGCCAUGUCGCGUGCAGGACUACGGCCCUACGGGUCUUAAACUGCUUUUGCAAGGGGAUAAAGUGGGGCACGCGUGCCCCUUUGCAGGUACCUUGCGAAUAAGGAUCGGCUAACUCCGUGCCAGCAGCCGCGGUAAUACGGAGGAUCCGAGCGUUAUCCGGAUUUAUUGGGUUUAAAGGGUGCGUAGGCGGGCUGUUAAGUCAGCGGUGAAACCCCCGGGCUCAACCCGGGGACUGCCAUUGAAACUGGCGGCCUUGAGUACGUUGGGAGUGCGCGGAAUGUGUGGUGUAGCGGUGAAAUGCAUAGAUAUCACACAGAACACCGAUUGCGAAGGCAGCCCACUGGGACGCGACUGACGCUGAGGCACGAAAGUGCGGGGAUCGAACAGGAUUAGAUACCCUGGUA